GACGAACGCUGGCGGCGUGCCUAAUACAUGCUAGUCGAACGAAGCUGUUUUAACUGGUGCUUGCACCGACUUAAACAACUGAGUGGCGAACGGAUGAGUAACACGUGGGUAACCUGCCCCAAAGCGGGGGAUAACAUUUGGAAACAGAUGCUAAUACCGCAUAACCACAGAAACCACAUGGUUUCUGUGUCAAAGAUGGGUUCGGCCAUCACUUUGGGACGGACCCGCGGCGUAUUAGCUAGUUGGUAAGGUAAUGGCUUACCAAGGCAAUGAUACGUAGCCGAACUGAGAGGUUGAUCGGCCACAUUGGGACUGAGACACGGCCCAAACUCCUACGGGAGGCAGCAGUAGGGAAUCUUCCACAAUGGACGAAAGUCUGAUGGAGCAACGCCGCGUGAGUGAAGAAGGUUUUCGGAUCGUAAAACUCUGUUGUCAGAGAAGAACGUGUGCGAGAGUAACUGCUCGUGCAGUGACGGUAUCUGGCCAGAAAGCCACGGCUAACUACGUGCCAGCCGCCGCGGUAA
Molecule: ribosomal RNA, 524 nt
Filed under: uncultured bacterium
Lineage: Bacteria
Description: partial 16S ribosomal RNA
Rfam family: Bacterial small subunit ribosomal RNA
Source: RNAcentral